This 430-nucleotide ribosomal RNA is filed under the name Acidobacteriota bacterium. Its description in RNAcentral is "Acidobacteria bacterium partial 16S ribosomal RNA". It matches the Rfam family "Bacterial small subunit ribosomal RNA", at positions 355 to 776 of the family's 1533-position model. The record is from RNAcentral. Lineage: Bacteria; Pseudomonadati; Acidobacteriota.
UGGGGAAUAUUGGACAAUGGGCGCAAGCCUGAUCCAGCCAUGCCGCGUGUGUGAAGAAGGCCUUUUGGUUGUAAAGCACUUUAAGCGAGGAGGAGGCUACUUGGAUUAAUACUCUAGGAUAGUGGACGUUACUCGCAGAAUAAGCACCGGCUAACUCUGUGCCAGCAGCCGCGGUAAUACAGAGGGUGCGAGCGUUAAUCGGAUUUACUGGGCGUAAAGCGUGCGUAGGCGGCUUCUUAAGUCGGAUGUGAAAUCCCUGAGCUUAACUUAGGAAUUGCAUUUGAUACUGGGAAGCUAGAGUAUGGGAGAGGAUGGUAGAAUUCCAAGUGUAGCGGUGAAAUGCGUAGAGAUCUUGAGGAAUACCGAUGGCGAAGGCAGCCAUCUGGCCUAAUACUGACGCUGGGGUACGAAAGCAUGGGGAGCAAACAGG